CAGGUGCUCAGCUCAGCCAGGCGCCUCUCAGAAAGCGAGACCACCCAUGGCUUCCCCUCCGAAGCGGGUAGCAGAACAGGACUGAACAAGGUGAUGGGGGGGUGGCGCUGGGAUCCCCAACUGACAACACUUGGGCAGCCUCCUCUCCGCUGGGGUCCUGCGGGAGGCCCCGGCCAGCCCGGGCCUUGGAAUACACCCUCUGCAUCCGCCAGGUGGUUCUCAAGGCUCGCUCCCCAGACCCGCAGAACCAGCAGCACCUGGGAACUUACUAGAAAUGCAAAUACUCGGGCCCCGCCCCCAGACCCGAAAAUCAGCAACUCCGGGGGCGGGACCCAGCCACGGAGGGGGUUUAAUAAGCCCGCCAGGUGAUUCGGUUGCCUGCUCCGGUGGAUUGAGGGCCACUGCUGUGCCGGGAGCCGCUUUCAAGGACCUGGGCUCCUUCCGGCUCCUCCCGCAGGAGCCUGGAGGUUGGGGCCAGGAUGCCUGUCUCCAUCAACACUGUGGUCCCUAACUAACGAGCGAGCAUCAGGAGUGAACACACAGAUGGGAAGAUUCAGCCGCAUCAACAAAUAGCAAGGUCUGUGGAGAAGACAGCUGCCAUGUCACGAGGACACUCAAGCGACCCUGGUGGAGAAGUCUACAUGGCGAACAAAGUCCUCCCCCACCAAUAACCAUGUGAGGAAAUCGUGACUCCGAGAGGUCAACGCUCCGGGAUGUCCUAGCAAAGCCACCGGCAAAGGCAGAGGGACGGUUUCGUCUUCCCGGCUGGCAACGCUGCUCCUUCAACUCCCGUCCCCCUCCCAGCUGUGUGCAUCUGAGUCCUCUAGGGACCUCACACGGAUAACAGGGAGGGGGCUACUAAAGACAGACAGCAACAGUGCUAAACCAUCUGAUCGCCUGGGGACAAAGGAGACAGGAAAACUAAAAAAACCAUGAUGCACUGCGCUGUGACAUUUCCGACAGACCCCCCAAUCAAAACGGCCAGAAUAAAGUAAGCGUCCAGUUUUUGUAAAGAUGAGCCUCCGUUACCUAGAAAACUUAACUGUUUUUGAAGAAUCUGGUGUCAGCAGAGCUAUUUAUAAUUGAAAUGUCAAGCGCCAUUAUGUUUUGAAUCAAAAAGCCUAGCAAGGCAUUCAAAGAUAGAUUAAAAAAUCUAUCAGUUGGAUGAAUCACCACUGGUGUGUUCCCCAAGCAGGGGGAGCAGGGGAAGUCUUGGGUAAGACUAACUCCUAGAUUUCCCAAAUGUUGGGAAAACCACCAUCUCAAACGCAAGGGUGGUCCUCUUGUGUAGGCAGAAGCUGGGAUUUUAACCCAACGGCACCUUGCUGCAUUCGUUUAAGGAAACCCUCUAAAGGGUCUUUGAUUCUGUCAACGUGUCCCCUGCUAGGGAAACGGGGGAGCUUUGCUUCUCUGCAUGGUAAUGUAAACCAGUGUCUUCCCCAAGGGCAGGGCUGUAUCAGGGCAGGGCCUCAAAUUGUUUCUACUGGGACCGCGUGUGACGGACGUGGUCUUGUCCAAGACUGGGGACACUUAUCAGAGGGUCCAGGAAAGAUGUCUACAGGCUUAUCUUCACUGCCAGCUGGCGGAGGUCCCCUAAAGGCAGACAGAUAGGUAUGACCUGAGUCAAUCCUUAAAAUUCCCCCAGGCCACAUUAUUCUAGAACAACCGUGUCAUCUAGACUUUUGGAAAUGUGCUGAUUCCAGAAUAUUGCUCGGAUGCCCUUUGGGGACAAAGAGCAGGACCACAUUCUUCCGGGUGUGGGUGGGGUUUACCCAAAAAGGAAUGGAUGCUCCCAUAAAUGUCACCCUGGGGUCCCCGAAAUAGGAACUUGGAAGGCGCCUUAGACUCUCCAAGGGAAAAACCAUUUCUCGUUCUUGGAGCCUUGUGGUCUGAAAAGCCUAGACUCUAGGGAGGGUUUCCCCCAGUUACUCCCCCCGUGGGAGAUUGUUGAAAUCUGCACGGGGGGACGUGACAAGGGCCACAGAAAGACACCAGGAGGGGACAGGGUUCCCAGUUCACAUGCCGGAUGCUGUGGUACGGUUGCAUUCCCGAUCAACAACAGAUAAUAUUUUAACAUAAGUACAUCCCAAAUAUUGCAUGGUUCCUAAUAUUGCACAGGAAAUACUUACACUGCAAAACCAUUUGUUGUUUAUUUGAAGUUGAAAUUGUGUAGGCUCUUGUGCGCGUCUCUUCUGGAGUUCGGGAAAACUUGCAGAGGAGAACCCAGGAAAAGU
This is a long non-coding RNA of Felis catus (domestic cat), 2234 nucleotides long. RefSeq lists it as uncharacterized. NCBI's taxonomy places the organism in Eukaryota, Metazoa, Chordata, Mammalia, Carnivora, Felidae. The record is from RefSeq and is a predicted model, not a curated record. The transcript has 6 exons.